This 489-nucleotide ribosomal RNA is filed under the name uncultured bacterium. Its description in RNAcentral is "partial 16S ribosomal RNA". It matches the Rfam family "Bacterial small subunit ribosomal RNA", at positions 28 to 507 of the family's 1533-position model. The record is from RNAcentral.
GACGAACGCUGGCGGCGUGCUUAACACAUGCAAGUCGAACGGUGAAGGGACCAGCUUGCUGGUUCUGGAUGAGUGGCGAACGGGUGAGUAACACGUGAGUAACCUGCCCCCUUCUUCUGGAUAACCGCAUGAAAGUGUGGCUAAUACGGGAUAUUCUGGGUCUGUCGCAUGGCGGGCCCGGGAAAGAUAUUGCUUCGGUGGGGGAUGGGCUCGCGGCCUAUCAGCUUGUUGGUGGGGUGAUGGCCUACCAAGGCGGUGACGGGUAGCCGGCCUGAGAGGGUGGACGGUCACACUGGGACUGAGACCCGGCCCAGACUCCUACGGGAGGCAGCAGUGGGGAAUAUUGCACAAUGGGCGCAAGCCUGAUGCAGCGACGCCGCGUGAGGGAUGGAGGCCUUCGGGUUGUAAACCUCUUUCGCCAGUGAAGCAGGCCUGCUCCUUGUGGGUGGGUUGACGGUAGCUGGAUAAGAAGCGCCGGCUAACUACGUG